UACGGGAGGCAGCAGUGGGGAAUAUUGGACAAUGGGCGAAAGCCUGAUCCAGCAAUGCCGCGUGAGUGAAGAAGGCCUUCGGGUUGUAAAGCUCUUUUACCCGGGAUGAUAAUGACAGUACCGGGAGAAUAAGCCCCGGCUAACUCCGUGCCAGCAGCCGCGGUAAUACGGAGGGGGCUAGCGUUGUUCGGAUUUACUGGGCGUAAAGCGUACGUAGGCGGCUUUGUAAGUUAGAGGUGAAAGCCCAGGGCUCAACCCUGGAAUAGCCUUUAAGACUGCAUCGCUUGAACGUCGGAGAGGUGAGUGGAAUUCCGAGUGUAGAGGUGAAAUUCGUAGAUAUUCGGAAGAACACCAGUGGCGAAGGCGACUCACUGGACGACUGUUGACGCUGAGGUACGAAAGCGUGGGGAGCAAACAGGAUUAGAUACCCUGGUAG
RNAcentral lists this ribosomal RNA (436 nucleotides) under uncultured Sphingomonadaceae bacterium. Its description in RNAcentral is "bacterial SSU rRNA". It matches the Rfam family "Bacterial small subunit ribosomal RNA", at positions 340 to 793 of the family's 1533-position model. The record is from RNAcentral. Lineage: Bacteria; Pseudomonadati; Pseudomonadota; Alphaproteobacteria; Sphingomonadales; Sphingomonadaceae.